RNAcentral lists this transfer RNA (76 nucleotides) under Bacillota bacterium. Its description in RNAcentral is "tRNA-Gln". It matches the Rfam family "tRNA". From Rfam's summary of the family: Transfer RNA (tRNA) molecules are approximately 80 nucleotides in length. Their secondary structure includes four short double-helical elements and three loops (D, anti-codon, and T loops). Further hydrogen bonds mediate the characteristic L-shaped molecular structure. tRNAs have two regions of fundamental functional importance: the anti-codon, which is responsible for specific mRNA codon recognition, and the 3' end, to which the tRNAs corresponding amino acid is attached (by aminoacyl-tRNA synthetases). tRNAs cope with the degeneracy of the genetic code in two manners: having more than one tRNA (with a specific anti-codon) for a particular amino acid; and 'wobble' base-pairing, i.e. permitting non-standard base-pairing at the 3rd anti-codon position. Lineage: Bacteria; Bacillati; Bacillota. The record is from RNAcentral. RNAcentral also lists the same sequence under 4 other names.
UGGGGUGUCGCCAAGCGGUUAAGGCACCGGAUUUUGAUUCCGGCAUUCGUAAGUUCAAAUCUUGCCACCCCAGCCA